This is a long non-coding RNA of Octopus sinensis (East Asian common octopus), 78 nucleotides long. RefSeq lists it as uncharacterized. The transcript has 3 exons. Lineage: Eukaryota; Metazoa; Mollusca; Cephalopoda; Octopoda; Octopodidae. The record is from RefSeq and is a predicted model, not a curated record.
AAGAGCAUCUAGCCAUAGUAAUUAUGCCAAAGAUGACAUUGAAGCUCAACAUGGCUCUGCAGCUCACUGGUUUCAGUU